GGCGCACAAAGCAGGGCUAGAAUUCCUGUUAAAUGGAAUGGCUUCUCUGAAAUACAAAUAUUGAUAUGUCUUCAGUGAUCUGUGCAUGACGAUGCAGACAAUGUUCUACAAUUUUGCUUGGAAAUAGGCAGCAACAGAUGGUACAAAGAAGGUAAGAGAAUUAUCUGCCAUUAAAGGGAAAAGGGCCCAAGACCAGCAGAUGUGCCUCUCUUUCCCUUCCCUUCCCUUCCCUGCCCUGCCCUGCCCUGCCCUGCCCUGCCCUGCCCUGCCCUGCCCUCCCCUUCCUCUCUUUUCUUUUUUAAUUUGAAGGAAAGACAGUUUAGGGAAAUAUGAAGCUGAACAAGUGAUAAAUGGAUAGACAACCAGAUAAGAACAGGAUAGGAUUAAGGAAACACUGGAAGGAAACAAAGAAGUUCAGAUGAAACAACAGCAAAGAUUGCAUAAAAAGGGAAAAGAAACUAAAAGGAAAAGAAGUUUUAAAUGUAUAUAGGGAGUCUGUGUGCAAUUUCAUGUGGCUACUCAGGAAAAUGAACAAGCCAAGUAAUUGAAAGCAGAAAUGAAAUUGCAAAGGAUCACAGGAUUUCAAAUUAAGUGAACAAAUUGUAUGGGGGAGGGGUACAGACCAUACAAUACAAUAGCUUGAACUGGCAGACAGCUUAUAACAGUGGUUCUGAGUGAAUGACCCUUCAUCUCCUGUGACAAAUUGAAGAUAAUGCCAGCAUUUCAUAGUCAUUUCACUUUUAUUAUCACCAAAAGUUUAAGCCAGUAUUCUAUUACCUUGAAUGUCUUUAUAGUGUCAAGUUGAGCCGGACAAGAAAUGAACUUGAUGACAAAUUUGCUGACUCUGAAGAAGAGAGUAAGAGAUAAGACCCUCAUCAGCAUCUUCUCAGCUCCUGUGUCCAGGAUGUACAGAUUCAAUGACUGUAGAUUUCCCAUGACACAGUAUGUGCAAGAUCUCAAAAUAUACCCAGGGAAGACACCCUGUUUGACCAAGCACUUGGGGUGGCUGAUCCCUCCCCAGAAAGUGAGUGCUAAGGACUUGGAACUCUUAGAGCUCCCAUUGAAAUCCAAACCAGGAGCUGUUGAGAUGAACAUAUUUUAAUGCCCUUGGAAUUUGACAGACUGUGCAAAGUGGACAAAUGAUUGUGUCAACUUAAUGCAGUCAUGCCGAAUGCAGUCAGUGUCUCUGUGAAGCCUUUGAGAAUACCCAACAAUUGCUCAGCCUGAAUGAAGAAACUCGGUCACAGACAACACAAUCUUGUCUAUAUAGGAAUACUUCUAUUUCUCAGGACAAACUUGCAUGGAUUUUGGGAGGUAAUGCCAUAUUUUCAGUGCUCUGAAGAUUCAAAGAGCAGCAGACUGUGCACACAUCCAAACAAGACUUAUUUGUUUUGAAAAACCUGAGAGCUUUUUUAUGGUUCAAGCUGAUUGUUGUUACAUCCCCGGUUAUAAUGCAACAUUGAUUACUGGAUCUGAACAAGACCAGAAGCCUUUACCAGGAAGACAGCAGCUAACCCAUUUAUUCCUACUUUUUUAUGCUUAAAUAAGAGGAGUCUGAAUAUUUUGUUUUUUCUUACUUCACACAAUCAUAUACAGACAUGGAAUGAUUCUCUUUUAAAAUACAGAAGAGCAAUUUGCCUUUUUAUUAAACUUUUGUUUUUAUCUUAUAAAACAUAUAUUCUUGAGUUCCAGUUAUGUUUAAAACUGGCAAAAACUCACAGACAAUACAAAGGGGUUUUUAUUUAGUGUAAUUUUUUUUUCUGUGUUUUCUAUAGUUUAAUUUUUCCUGCAUUUAAUUAUAUUCAUUUCUGACUGUCCAUCUCCAUUGUACUCUGCUGGUAGAAGAACAGUUCUUCUAACAGGGAAAUAAAUCUACCAGUUUGAUUAAUCA
Molecule: long non-coding RNA, 1891 nt
Filed under: Parus major (Great Tit)
Lineage: Eukaryota; Metazoa; Chordata; Aves; Passeriformes; Paridae
Description: lncRNA (ENSPMJG00000015120.1)
Source: RNAcentral